This 416-nucleotide RNase P RNA is filed under the name Candidatus Methylomirabilota bacterium. RNAcentral's name for it is "RNase P RNA component class A". It matches the Rfam family "Bacterial RNase P class A". From Rfam's summary of the family: Ribonuclease P (RNase P) is a ubiquitous endoribonuclease, found in archaea, bacteria and eukarya as well as chloroplasts and mitochondria. Its best characterised activity is the generation of mature 5'-ends of tRNAs by cleaving the 5'-leader elements of precursor-tRNAs. The record is from RNAcentral. Lineage: Bacteria; Methylomirabilota (SeqCode).
GAAAGGAGGACAGAUGGCCGCCGCGGUCUCCACCUGCAGGGAGGAGACCGGGGAGGAAAGUCCGGACUCCACAGGGCAGGGUGCUCCGUAACGCGGAGUGGGGGCGACCCCAAGGAAAGUGCCACAGAAAACACACCGCCGAUCCCGAUCCUUUUGCACGGGAGGCAAGGGUGAAAAGGUGCGGUAAGAGCGCACCGCCUCGAUGGUGACAUCGAGGGCAGGGAAAACCCCACCCGGAGCAAGGCCAAAUAGGAGGGCGAUGUCUCGCGCCUGCGGGACGAGAGGGUGGCCCGCCCAAGCCCUCGGGUAGGCCGCUGGAUUCCGCUGGCAACAGCGGAACUAGAGGAAUGGUCAUCACCCCAAGGCCGUGCAAGCGGUCUGGGGCACAGAAUCCGGCUUAUGGACUCCUUUCGCCC